UGCUUUUAUUAGAAAAUCUGUUAGAAAAUGCAAGCGAGGUCGACUAACUUGCAUCAUUAAUGUACUUUCUUUUACAAAACAUUUCAGUAGACAUUGAAAGGAGAACAAAGUUUCUGCCUACAGAGCAAUAGCAGGGCACCACCUUGUUUCUUUUUUGGUACAAGAGGGCAGCACUUUAUUCAUGUAAAAAUAAAGUGAUGUUGUGUUCACAAUCGUAAAUUAAAUUAAAACUUGAAAGGAAGGAAUUCUUGGCAACUACUCCCAAUCCCAAGCUCAGAAUUGACGAUCACAUACCAGAUGCAAAUUCGAUUCAUGCCAAAACUGAUAUUUCAUUAGUUAACGGUACUAAAUGUGGAUGUACCGUUCACUGUUCAUCUUGGCUCGAAUUGAAGCGGCGGUUUUGCGUUCUUUAAAUUACAGACUGUCAUCCUUCUAUUUCCUCAAUUACAGAACUCUUUUGCUGACUUUUCUCUCUCCCGUCUCUCGAAGACUCUUCACAGAACUCUCUCGCUCACGGGCACAAGCAAGUCUAUUCAGUAAAUACAGUAUACUAUGGCACUCUGGUCAAGUUUCUAUCAGCAAACAUAACAACUGCAACUCGACCCACCUGGGCUCCUGCAAAAGAUGGUAAUGAACAAGGUAGUACUUGGAUUUUUGGCCAAUCCCAAAAUCACUCAUCAAGGGACAUUGCAGCGCAUACAACUCUAAAAACCAGAUCUUACAGUGUAUGCCUAGGUAGCGCACUGAAAACCGUGAUGCUAUGAGGGAAGUUGAUGGUACGUUUUGUGACGCUCUAAUUAAGUAUAGCUGGAAUAGAGGUCAUAUUCUGAACAUAUCUCAUUCAUGGGAUCAAACAAAUCCAAGUGGUACUAUUCUUUCUGUUAUCUUUUCUCAUUUGCUUUUCAGUAAGAAUAAUAAAUUACCAUGAAGAUUCUUUGGCAUGAAGCAUGGACUAUUCUACCUGCGUUCGUUUAUAUGCAUCAUAUCUCGAAGAAUGCCCUAGUGUUUUCGUGUCCUGAAGUAUGAUGUUCAGAAAGGUCACUUGGUAUGCAGUUUGAAUUGGAAUUUAUGUGCAAGCUUUUUGUAUGUACAUUGUUCUUUCUAUAUCAUUUAAUGGAAAAACCACCCCUCUGGCUUUCUAUAAACUUUUAUAUUAUGUUUACUUAUCAAUGCAAAAUGGAAUAGGAAUGUACCAUUCUCUUUAAUAUAGUACAAAUAGGAAUGUACCAUUCUCUUUAAUAUAGUACAGUAGACAUGAUGGCAUUUAGAAUAAAGCAUCUCACAGGUUCAAUACAAUCUCUACAGAGAACCAAGGAACUUGAAACCCCACACUUACUAAGGCAUUUACCUGCUUUGCAACAGCUUCUUUCUCGCCUUCUUGAUUGCCAGGUGACUGAUCCAAUAUUCAUUCCUUUGUUUUUUGUUUUUGUUUUGUUUAUUUUAUUUUAUUUUUAUUCUUCCUUUCUUUUCAGUCUAUCUUCCAUGAAAGGGAGGUGUUAUUCCACCAAAUUUUGAUAAUCUUACCCUUUAUGUAUUUUACAAGUAUAUAUGGUCCUUCUGUUAUGUAUAUAAAGACCACUGACCACAGCCAACACCUAUUCUGUUAUUACUGAAACAAUGAAGGUACGUAAUUUUGCAGCCAGAAGGGGGGGGGGGGGACUAUAUGUAAUAGCCUGAUUCAAUAUGCUAUUUCAAUGGUACAAACUCUAAAAGGCUCAAUUGUAAGUAGGUCUAAUCUGAUACCAUUCCAUCCAAUAUUCCUUUAAGAUGUUCCUCCCAUCAGGUUGCAGGUGAAAAUGCCAAAUUGUAUGCUGCAAUCAAAGAUGGAAUUGUCAAUUUAGUUGACAACGGAGGCCUUGGUUUUCUAUGUGCAAAAUGAUGGGCAGCUGCUACAACAUUUUUAUUCGUUUACUUUAGCAUUCCCUGCUUCCCGCAAUACUUGAUGUUGUCAUAAAACGGUUUGAUGGAAUGUUAUUGUAAACUGCAAUAAUGUAAACCAAACAAUUUUAGAGAGAUGAAACUUCGUUUCAUUUUAUUA
This is a long non-coding RNA of Rosa rugosa (rugosa rose), 2038 nucleotides long. RefSeq lists it as uncharacterized. The transcript has 3 exons. The record is from RefSeq and is a predicted model, not a curated record. Lineage: Eukaryota; Viridiplantae; Streptophyta; Magnoliopsida; Rosales; Rosaceae.